RNAcentral lists this ribosomal RNA (320 nucleotides) under uncultured Planctomycetota bacterium. RNAcentral's name for it is "bacterial SSU rRNA". It matches the Rfam family "Bacterial small subunit ribosomal RNA", at positions 29 to 351 of the family's 1533-position model. Lineage: Bacteria; Pseudomonadati; Planctomycetota. The record is from RNAcentral.
AAUGAACGUUGGCGGCGUGGAUUAGGCAUGCAAGUCGAGCGAGAACCCCGCAAGGGGGGACAGCGGCAAACGGGGUAGUAACGGGUAGGUGACGUACCCUCGGGUCGGGGAUAGCCACGGGAAACUGUGGGUAAUACCCGAUAAUCUCCUGAGUCGUAAGGAUUCGGGAGCAAAGGUGUGAUUCCACCGGAGGAGCGGCCUGCUUCGUAUUAGCUAGUUGGUGAGGUAACGGCUCACCAAGGCGACGAUGCGUAGGGGGUGUGAGAGCAUGACCCCCACCACUGGGACUGAGAUACUGCCCAGACACCUACGGGUGGCUG